GAACUUACCCUUCGAAUCCUGAUGGACUGAACUCUGUCCUGUACAUGACAGGCAAAACUCAGAAAGAAUACGACCCACGAGCACAGAUGUGGCUCUUUCCUUUCGAUUCUCGACUUGGCUAGGAUUUUCUCUCCUCAUUUACCGUAUUACCGAUUGCACAAGUCAAAGAGGAGGAAAAAGAUUCAGAAUCCCAUCGAUUUUAAGAGCUUCCUCUCUUUUUCUUCAUCAUUUUUGGUAUGCACUUUUCUCCUGUUCAUAUUAAACUUGGAGGGUACGAAGAAAAUUUUCAAUUGAAAGAAUGGUUGGUAAAUUGUCCACUAGAUUACUGAACAUAUGCAUAGUAUCAUUUUGCAAAGCCAGGCAAUUAGAUAGGGCAGAAUCUGUCAUUGUUGACGCUAUAAGGUUAGGAGUACUUCCUAAUAUAGUUACUUAUAAUAAACUUAUUGAUGCCUACUCUUGUCUUGUUAGUUUUGAUUCUGCUUAUUCUCUUCUUCAGAGAAUGAGUGAAGCCAGAAUAAACCCAGAUGUGGUUUCCUACAAUUCUCUGAUAUCUGGUGCUACUAGAAAUUGCUUGUUAUCGAAAUCCCUUGACCUGUUUGAAGAAAUGCUUCAAAGGGGCAUAGCUCCUGAUAUUUGGAGUUUUAAUACAUUGAUGCAUUGCUUCUUUAAGGUGGGAAAACCUGAAGAAGCAAACCAGGUUUUCAUGGAUAUUAUUCGCCAUGGUUUAUCUCCAUGUCCAGCUACUUUUAAUAUUAUGAUUAAUGGUCUUUGCAAGAAUGGUUACACGAGUAAUGCACUUAUGUUGUUUCGAAGUUUACAGCGACAUGGAUUUGUUCCUCAAUUAAUCACUUAUAAUAUUCUUAUUAAUGGGUUGUGUAAAGCGGGGAGAUUGGGGGGUGCAAGGAGAAUGCUCAAAGAACUUGCUGCAUCUGGUUAUAUGCCAAAUGCCAUAACUUAUACCACUGUAAUGAAAUGCUGCUUUAGAUCUAGGCGUUUUGAUCAAGGGCUUGAGAUAUUGCAAGAGAUGAUUGAUAAUGGUUAUACUUUUGAUGGUUUUGCAUAUUGCACUGUUGUUGGUGCUUUAAUCAAGUGUGGUAGGAUUAAAGAGGCAACUGAUUAUAUGGAUCAGAUGAUGAGAAAUGGCAUUGAGCAUGAUUUAGUGUCUUAUAAUACACUAAUAAAUUUGUAUUGUAAAGAAGGUAAAUUGGAAGAAGCAUAUCAAUUGCUUGAUGAAAUAGAAGAAGGAGGUUUAGAAUGUGAUGAGUAUACACACACAAUUUUAAUAGAUGGGUUGUGCAAAGCAGGUAAUAUUGAGGGGGCCCAGCAACAUAUAAAGCAUAUGAAUGUGAUGGGUUUCAAUUUGCAUUUGGUUGCUUCAAAUUGUGUGGUUGAUGGGUUGUGCAAAGCUGGUCAGAUUGAUCAUGCUUUGAAGAUGUUUGAAUCAAUGGAGAAGAGGGACUCGUUUACCUACUCUUCCUUGGUCUACAAUCUUUGCAAGGCUAGAAGGUAUCAUUGUGCAUCCAAGUUGUUGCUUGGUUGUAUAAGCAGUGGCAUGAAAAUACUCCGAUCAUCUCAACGGGCUGUUAUAGAUGGUCUUCGUUAUUCUGGUUUUCAAAAAGAAGCAAGGAAGCUUAAAUCAAAAAUUCGAUUGGCUCAGAUGGUGCAGUUUUGAUGUUCCUAUAGCCCUUUUGAUGCAAUCUGGAGCUGAAGCAAUUCAAUUCAAUUAUUCUAGUGACCGUUCUUUUUGAAUUGAAAUCUUCAGUCAGCACCAUGUAAAUGUAAAUGCUCCAUGUUGUUGUAAAAAACUAGAGAUGCUUUAUGCUAAUAAGAUUUGUUAUGUUUAGACAUGGAUUGGAGGUACAGAAUCCAGGUUAAUGAAAAAUGACAGUAAUUUCAUUCCUAGGGAUGUACAUUGGGUUAUUUAAAACUGGAUAUUGAUUGGCAUUGAUCGUUUAGAGUGGAGAAAGCGAA
Molecule: unclassified non-coding RNA, 1971 nt
Filed under: Hevea brasiliensis (rubber tree)
Lineage: Eukaryota; Viridiplantae; Streptophyta; Magnoliopsida; Malpighiales; Euphorbiaceae
Source: RNAcentral